UGGCUCAGAGCGAACGCUGGCGGCAGGCCUAACACAUGCAAGUCGAACGAACUCUUCGGAGUUAGUGGCGGACGGGUGAGUAACACGUGGGAACGUGCCUUUAGGUUCGGAAUAACUCAGGGAAACUUGUGCUAAUACCGAAUGUGCCCUUCGGGGGAAAGAUUUAUCGCCUUUAGAGCGGCCCGCGUCUGAUUAGCUAGUUGGUGAGGUAAAGGCUCACCAAGGCGACGAUCAGUAGCUGGUCUGAGAGGAUGAUCAGCCACAUUGGGACUGAGACACGGCCCAAACUCCUACGGGAGGCAGCAGUGGGGAAUCUUGCGCAAUGGGCGAAAGCCUGACGCAGCCAUGCCGCGUGAAUGAUGAAGGUCUUAGGAUUGUAAAAUUCUUUCACCGGGGACGAUAAUGACGGUACCCGGAGAAGAAGCCCCGGCUAACUUCGUGCCAGCAGCCGCGGUAAUACGAAGGGGGCUAGCGUUGCUCGGAAUUACUGGGCGUAAAGGGAGCGUAGGCGGACAUUUAAGUCAGGGGUGAAAUCCCGGGGCUCAACCUCGGAAUUGCCUUUGAUACUGGGUGUCUUGAGUAUGAGAGAGGUGUGUGGAACUCCGAGUGUAGAGGUGAAAUUCGUAGAUAUUCGGAAGAACACCAGUGGCGAAGGCGACACACUGGCUCAUUACUGACGCUGAGGCUCGAAAG
Molecule: ribosomal RNA, 693 nt
Filed under: Brevundimonas sp. DW78
Lineage: Bacteria; Pseudomonadati; Pseudomonadota; Alphaproteobacteria; Caulobacterales; Caulobacteraceae
Description: bacterial SSU rRNA
Rfam family: Bacterial small subunit ribosomal RNA
Source: RNAcentral